GCAAAUGAGGACUUUGAGGUUUCAGACUACGAUGAUUUCUCUUCUGAUUAUAAAAAACGCAAGGUUGUUAUUAAGCGCAAUAUAGUUUGGAAUUCUGACCCCUCCUCAAAAUCAAUCUCUCUCUUGCCCUUUUAAAAUCCCCCGCCCUCACCGGCGCCCUACCCCUCCCCCUACCAUCGCCUCCAACCUUUGGCCUCGGCCUCUGAUCAUAGUGCCAGACCCAGAGCCAGAAUGGUUCCCAAAGACAGAGCUUUCUGAGGAGGAAUAAUAUGAAUGUUCUGUCUAUGGAGAGAUGCUGUUAGACCGCUACAACCAAAGUUAAGGGCACUGAUUUUGAUUUUGUGAGACUUGUGAAGAUGAUGGUAACGGUUGCCACUGGCUUAAAUGUCAAAAUUCAAUUUGAGGCCAAGCCUAGAGUUGCUGCUGAGUACACCCUGAAAACCUUUGAAGGUUUCGUGUUCGAGGAUUGUGUCUUUUAUCAUAUAGUGUGGCCUGAGAGUUGUCGACUACUAUGCCCUAAUCUUGACUACGUGUAUGAUGAAGAAUCUCGCUGUUCCAUGUGCACUUAUGAAUUGGCAAGGGACUUUGGUCCUCCAGGUUUGCCCUGACUCAGCGCUUGAUGGUUGGGUAGUGAUCGUAAUUGAUUGUAGUAACUCUCUGUUUUGUUGGUUUGACCUGCAACCAACGUUGCAAAUUUUAUAUAAUCAAAUUAUUUGUGACCCUCUCUUUUUGCUUAUUUGGUUCAAUUUACUCGAGCAUAUCCAUUUUUUUGGGAAAA
Long non-coding RNA from Quercus robur (English oak), 778 nucleotides. RefSeq lists it as uncharacterized. Lineage: Eukaryota; Viridiplantae; Streptophyta; Magnoliopsida; Fagales; Fagaceae. The transcript is spliced from 3 exons. The record is from RefSeq and is a predicted model, not a curated record.